This 66-nucleotide transfer RNA is filed under the name Ixodes woyliei. RNAcentral describes it as "tRNA-His". The record is from RNAcentral. Lineage: Eukaryota; Metazoa; Arthropoda; Arachnida; Ixodida; Ixodidae.
ACUUAAUUAGUUUAAUUUUUUAAAAACAAUAAAUUGUGGAUUUAUAGAUGAGAGGUUCAUUAGGUA